RNAcentral lists this long non-coding RNA (1355 nucleotides) under Nicotiana benthamiana. RNAcentral's name for it is "long non-coding RNA (NBEN_LNC033705)". Lineage: Eukaryota; Viridiplantae; Streptophyta; Magnoliopsida; Solanales; Solanaceae. The record is from RNAcentral.
CAAGAAUUUUAACGGUAGGGGCAUUUUUUUCAAAAUAGGUUAACGAAUGGCAUUUUUAAACUGGCGUCAAUAUGUUAGGGGCAGUUCUGACCCUUUUCCGUUUAUUUAUUCCCUUUCUUUAUAUAAAAAGAAAUUAUUGUGCUAAAGUUACUAAACUUUUUUUUAAAAAUAAAAUAGUCAAUUUCUUUGCCUAAAUAUUGCAGUGUAGUUUUGAAGUGCGUGUAAAACUAAAGAAAAGGAAAAGUUGUAGCAAACUGGGGAAAAUUUUACUUUAGGAAUGAAUAUAGAUAGCGAUCAAAGCUAGGUUAUAUAGACGACAACAACAACAACAACAACAACAACAACUAUCCAGUGUAUUCUCACCAGGUGGGGUCUGGGGAGGGUAAUGUGUAGACGAGCCUUACCCUUGCCCGAAAGGGCAGAGAGGCUGUUUCCAAUCGACCCUCGGCGAAUAGGAUAAAGGAAAAAGCUGCAUUAAGAAAAAGCUAGGUUAUAUAGAAUGACACAUAAUUAAUUGGAGAAAAUAAUUUUCUUUUUCGUUUUUAGCAUCGCUUGUUGGGCCCCUACUCGAUCAUAGCAGAUUUUCCACUAAAAGAUUAUUGUGACUGCAUAAUCACCGAAACGCCUAAGUCUAUAACUUCCCAGAUUCGGAAGAAUUAUAAUAGCAAUAAUAAAUAUAAAUGGAGAUCAAAUCUAGGUUAUAUGAAAUUUAUUGUUAUGAAUUGAAGUAGAUACUUAUCUUUAUCACGUUUAGCAUCGCUUGCUUAGCCUCUAUCUUACCAAGAUAUCCUAUGAAAACUGCUACAACUGCAUCAUUCUUGAGGCGUCUCCGUCUCAGACAUGUCUGAUUGAGAAGGACUUUACUCUCAGUAAUAAUAUAGAUGGCGAUCAAAUCUAGGUUAUAUGAAAUUUAUUGUUAUGAAUUGAAGUAGAUACUUAUCUUUGUCACGUUUAGCAUCGCUUGCUUAGCCUCUAUCUUACCAAGAUAUCCUAUGAAAACUGCUGCAACUGCAUCAUUCUUGAGGCGUCUCAGUCUCAGACAUGUCUAAUUAAGAAGAACUUUACUCUCAGAAAUAAUAUAGAUGGCGAUCAAAUCUAGGUUAUAUAAAAUGAUAGAAUUAAUGAAGAGAUUUAUCUUUGGCGUGCUUGGUAUCUCUUGUUGGAUUGUUUUCUGAUCUUACCAAAAACCCCAUCUAAGGAUUGUUGUGACUACAUCAUCGUCAAGGCACCCUGGCUUAAACAUACUAAACUGGGAAGAACUUGUCAUAAUAAAUAAAAAACGGUGAUGAAAUCUAAGUUAUAUAAAACGAUGAUAAAUUGGUUAAGACACUUGUCUUUGUCGCGCUUGAUUUUUC